UACGUAGGGGGCAAGCGUUGUCCGGAUUUAUUGGGCGUAAAGAGCGUGUAGGCGGCCAUACAGGUCCGUUGUGAAAACUGGAGGCUUAACCUCCAGACGUCGAUGGAAACCGUAUGGCUAGAGUCCGGAAGAGGAGAGUGGAAUUCCUGGUGUAGCGGUGAAAUGCGCAGAUAUCAGGAGGAACACCGAUGGCGAAGGCAGCUCGCUGGGACGGUACUGACGCUGAGACGCGAAAGCGUGGGGAGCAAACAGG
This 253-nucleotide ribosomal RNA is filed under the name uncultured bacterium. Its description in RNAcentral is "partial 16S ribosomal RNA". It matches the Rfam family "Bacterial small subunit ribosomal RNA", at positions 524 to 776 of the family's 1533-position model. The record is from RNAcentral.